This 906-nucleotide ribosomal RNA is filed under the name Exserohilum pedicellatum. RNAcentral's name for it is "LSU rRNA". It matches the Rfam family "Eukaryotic large subunit ribosomal RNA", at positions 38 to 962 of the family's 3401-position model. The record is from RNAcentral. Lineage: Eukaryota; Fungi; Ascomycota; Dothideomycetes; Pleosporales; Pleosporaceae.
GCAUAUCAAUAAGCGGAGGAAAAGAAACCAACAGGGAUUGCCCUAGUAACGGCGAGUGAAGCGGCAACAGCUCAAAUUUGAAAUCUGGCUCUUUCAGAGUCCGAGUUGUAAUUUGCAGAGGGCGCUUUGGCUUUGGCAGCGGUCCAAGUUCCUUGGAACAGGACGUCACAGAGGGUGAGAAUCCCGUACGUGGUCGCUAGCUAUUGCCGUGUAAAGCCCNUUCGACGAGUCGAGUUGUUUGGGAAUGCAGCUCUAAAUGGGAGGUAAAUUUCUUCUAAAGCUAAAUAUUGGCCAGAGACCGAUAGCGCACAAGUAGAGUGAUCGAAAGAUGAAAAGCACUUUGGAAAGAGAGUCAAACAGCACGUGAAAUUGUUGAAAGGGAAGCGCUUGCAGCCAGACUUGCUUGCAGUUGCUCAUCCGGGCUUUUGCCCGGUGCACUCUUCUGUAGGCAGGCCAGCAUCAGUUUGGGCGGUGGGAUAAAGGUCUCUGUCACGUACCUCUCUUCGGGGAGGCCUUAUAGGGGAGACGACAUACCACCAGCCUAGACUGAGGUCCGCGCAUCUGCUAGGAUGCUGGCGUAAUGGCUGUAAGCGGCCCGUCUUGAAACACGGACCAAGGAGUCUAACAUCUAUGCGAGUGUUUGGGUGUCAAGCCCGAGCGCGUAAUGAAAGUGAACGGAGGUGGGAACCCGCAAGGGUGCACCAUCGACCGAUCCUGAAGUUUACGGAAGGAUUUGAGUAAGAGCAUGGCUGUUGGGACCCGAAAGAUGGUGAACUAUGCUUGAAUAGGGUGAAGCCAGAGGAAACUCUGGUGGAGGCUCGCAGCGGUUCUGACGUGCAAAUCGAUCGUCAAAUUUGGGCAUAGGGGCGAAAGANNAAUCGAACUAUCUAGUAGCUGGUUCCUGCG